Molecule: unclassified non-coding RNA, 256 nt
Filed under: Candidatus Doudnaibacteriota bacterium
Lineage: Bacteria; Candidatus Doudnaibacteriota
Description: Candidatus Doudnabacteria bacterium contains 16S-23S intergenic spacer region
Rfam family: Bacterial small subunit ribosomal RNA
Source: RNAcentral
UACAGAGACCUCAAGCGUUAUCCGGAAUCAUUGGGCGUAAAGCGUUCCGAUCGGCGGUUUGUUAAGUCUGGGGUAAAAUCCAGGGGCUCAACUCCUGGCUCGCCUCGGAAACUAACAGACUAGAGGAGCAAAGAGGAAGCCGGAACGAACGGUGUAGCAGUGAAAUGCGUUGAUAUCGUUCGGAACACCGAUAGCGAAGGCAGGCUUCUGGGUGCUUCCUGACGCUGCUAGGACGAAAGCGUGGGUAGCGAACGGG